UAAAAAAAACUUUGAAAAGAGAGUUAAAUAGUACGUGAAAUUGUUGAAAGGGAAGGGCUUAUGACCAGACCUUUGCAUUGAGGAUCAUCCGGUGUUCUCACCGGUGCACUUCUCUUUGUUGAGGCCAGCAUCAGUUCUAGUUGGGGGAUAAAGACUUUAGGAAUGUGAUUCCUCCGGGAAUGUUAUAGCCUUUUGUGUAAUACCCUGACCGGGACUGAGGACCGCGCUUCGGCUAGGAUGCUGGCAUAAUGGUCAUCAGCCACCCGUCUUGAAACACGGACCAAGGAGUCGAACAUUUAUGCGAGUGUUUGGGUGUUAAACCCUCACGCGUAAUGAAAGUGAACGGAGGUGAGAGCCCUUACGGGUGCAUCAUCGACCGAUCCUGAUGUCUUCGGAUGGAUUUGAGUAAGAGCAUAACUGUUCGGACCCGAAAGAUGGUGAAUUAUGCGUGGAUAGGGUGAAGCCAGAGGAAACUCUGGUGGAGGCUCGCAGCGGUUCUGACGUGCAAAUCGAUCGUCAAAUCUGCGCAUGGGGGCGAAAGACUAAUCG
This 549-nucleotide ribosomal RNA is filed under the name Microdochium sp. RNAcentral's name for it is "partial large subunit ribosomal RNA". It matches the Rfam family "Eukaryotic large subunit ribosomal RNA", at positions 365 to 937 of the family's 3401-position model. The record is from RNAcentral. Lineage: Eukaryota; Fungi; Ascomycota; Sordariomycetes; Xylariales; Microdochiaceae.